AACACAUGGCAAGUCGAGCGGAUGAAGGGAGCUUGAUCCUGGAUUCAGCGGCGGACGGGUGAGUAAUGCCUAGGAAUCUGCCUGGUAGUGGGGGAUAACGUCCGGAAACGGGCGCUAAUACCGCAUACGUCCUGAGGGAGAAAGUGGGGGAUCUUCGGACCUCACGCUAUCAGAUGAGCCUAGGUCGGAUUAGCUAGUUGGUGGGGUAAAGGCCUACCAAGGCGACGAUCCGUAACUGGUCUGAGAGGAUGAUCAGUCACACUGGAACUGAGACACGGUCCAGACUCCUACGGGAGGCAGCAGUCCGGAAUAUUGGACAAUGGGCGAAAGCCUGAUCCAGCCAUGCCGCGUGUGUGAAGAAGGUCUUCGGAUUGUAAAGCACUUUAACUUGGGAGGAAGGGCAGUAAGUUAAUACCUUGCUGUUUUGACGUUACCAACAGAAUAAGCACCGGCUAACUUCGUGCCAGCAGCCGCGGUAAUACGAACCGUGCAAGCGUUAAUCGGAAUUACUGGGCGUAAACCGCGCGUAGGUGGUUCAGCAAGUUGGAUGUGAAAUCCCCGGGCUCAACCUGGGAACUGCAUCCAAAACUACUGAGCUAGAGUACGGUAGAGGGUGGUGGAAUUUCCUGUGUAGCGGUGAUUUGCGUAGAUAUAGGAAGGAACACCAGUGGCGAAGGCGACCACCUGGACUGAUACUGACACUGACGUGCGAAAGCGUGGGGAGCAAACAGGAUU
RNAcentral lists this ribosomal RNA (735 nucleotides) under Pseudomonas aeruginosa. Its description in RNAcentral is "bacterial SSU rRNA". It matches the Rfam family "Bacterial small subunit ribosomal RNA", at positions 50 to 779 of the family's 1533-position model. Lineage: Bacteria; Pseudomonadati; Pseudomonadota; Gammaproteobacteria; Pseudomonadales; Pseudomonadaceae. The record is from RNAcentral.